Molecule: ribosomal RNA, 304 nt
Filed under: uncultured temperate forest soil bacterium C6058
Lineage: Bacteria; Pseudomonadati; Acidobacteriota
Description: bacterial SSU rRNA
Rfam family: Bacterial small subunit ribosomal RNA
Source: RNAcentral
AGUGGGGAAUCUUGCACAAUGGGGGAAACCCUGAUGCAGCGACGCCGCGUGAGCGAUGAAGCCCUUCGGGGUGUAAAGCUCUUUCGGCAGGGAAGAUUAUGACGGUACCUGCAGAAGCAGCUGCGGCUAACUACGUGCCAGCAGCCGCGGUAAUACGUAGGCAGCAAGCGUUGUUCGGAGUUACUGGGCGUAAAGGGUGCGCAGGCGGUUCUGUAAGUAUGGUGUGAAAUCUCCCGGCUUAACUGGGAGGGUGCGCUAUAAACUGCGGGACUAGAGUGUGGGAGAGGAAAGUGGAAUUCCUGGG